This 499-nucleotide ribosomal RNA is filed under the name uncultured bacterium. RNAcentral describes it as "partial 16S ribosomal RNA". It matches the Rfam family "Bacterial small subunit ribosomal RNA", at positions 28 to 507 of the family's 1533-position model. The record is from RNAcentral.
GAUGAACGCUGGCGGCGUGCCUAAUACAUGCAAGUCGAGCGAACAGACGAGAGUGCUUGCCCUCUCUGACGUUAGCGGCGGACGGGUGAGUAACACGUGGGUAACCUACCUAUAAGACUGGGAUAACUUCGGGAAACCGGAGCUAAUACCGGAUAAUAUUUAGCUUCGCAUGAAGCAAUAGUGAAAGACGGUUCUGCUGUCACUUAUAGAUGGACCCGCGGUGUAUUAGCUGGUUGGUGAGGUAACGGCUCACCAAGGCAACGAUACAUAGCCGACCUGAGAGGGUGAUCGGCCACACUGGGACUGAGACACGGCCCAGACUCCUACGGGAGGCAGCAGUAGGGAAUCUUCCGCAAUGGACGAAAGUCUGACGGAGCAAUGCCGCGUGAGUGAAGAAGGUUUUCGGAUCGUAAAACUCUGUUGUAAGGGAAGAACAAGUACGUUAGUAACUGAACGUACCUUGACGGUACCUUACCAGAAAGCCACGGCUAACUACGUG